RNAcentral lists this ribosomal RNA (422 nucleotides) under uncultured bacterium. Its description in RNAcentral is "bacterial SSU rRNA". It matches the Rfam family "Bacterial small subunit ribosomal RNA", at positions 355 to 774 of the family's 1533-position model. The record is from RNAcentral.
UGAGGAAUAUUGGUCAAUGGGGGCAACCCUGAACCAGCCAAGUCGCGUGAAGGAUGAAGGUCUUAUGGAUUGUAAACUUCUUUUAUACAGGAAUAAAUUGGGGGACGUGUCCCCUUUUGCAUGUACUGUAUGAAUAAGGAUCGGCUAACUCCGUGCCAGCAGCCGCGGUAAUACGGAGGAUCCGAGCGUUAUCCGGAUUUAUUGGGUUUAAAGGGUGCGCAGGCGGGAUGUUAAGUCGGCGGUGAAAUUUUGCAGCUCAACUGUAAAAGUGCCUUCGAUACUGGCUUCCUUGAGUGUAGAUGAAGUAGACGGAAUUUGUGGUGUAGCGGUGAAAUGCUUAGAUAUCACGAGGAACUCCGAUUGCGCAGGCAGCUUACUAAACUACAACUGACGCUCAUGCACGAAGGCGUGGGGAUCAAACA